This 187-nucleotide unclassified non-coding RNA is filed under the name uncultured Ascomycota. RNAcentral's name for it is "sequence contains ITS1". The record is from RNAcentral. Lineage: Eukaryota; Fungi; Ascomycota.
AAGUUAUAGUCCCCCGGCCCUCUGGGCUGGGGUCCUCUAUACCACCCUUUGUUUACAUAUCUUUGUUGCUUUGGCAGGCCCGCUCUCGGGCCACCGGCUUCGGCUGGUCAGCGCCUGCCAGAGGACCUAAAACUCAUGUUAAUAAUAUUGUCUGAUAACAUAUUAUGAAUAUACUUAAUUCAAAAUA